This 4225-nucleotide long non-coding RNA is filed under the name Homo sapiens (human). Its description in RNAcentral is "HSALNT0131860". Lineage: Eukaryota; Metazoa; Chordata; Mammalia; Primates; Hominidae. The record is from RNAcentral.
UAGUGUUAUAUAACUUUUAAUGGAAAAUGUCAAAUAGAUACAAAAGUAUAAAUCAGGUUGGCAAGUGAAAUACAGGCCAAAAUUGGGCCCACCAGCUGUUUUUGCACAGCCCAAAUGUUAAGAAUGAUUUUUACAUUUUUAAAUAGUGAAAAGAUGUAAAAGGGUAAUAUCUAAUGACAUAAGAAAAGUAUGUGAAAUUCAGAUUUUAUUGUCCAAAAAGUUUGGAACACAGCCACAUGCACUGGUGCGUGGCCCCCUGGUGGCGGCUUCAUGCCACUACUGCCAAGUGGCAAGAGAGCCCCAUGGCUGGAAAAGCCAACAAUCUUUACCAUCUGCUCCAAGCCCUGCUUCACUCCCCUGUGUGUACCUAUCCUUGCAGCCUCAAAUUCCCGGCCAAUCUUGUUUCAUUUAUAGUUACUCCCAGCCCCACGGAUUCAAAGGAAAUCCCAGACAUCCUAUAAUUUCAUCUUCAUGUUGAAAUUUAAAAAGUUUGAAAAUUCACCAAGAUGUAAUAUAUAUGCACCAAACAUCAGAGCCCAAAAUAUAUGAAACAAACAUUGACAGAAUCAAAGGAAGAAAUGGAUAGUUCUACAGUAAGAGUAGGAGACUGCAGUAGCCCACUUUCAGUAACGGAUAGGACAACCAGACAGAAGAUCAGUCGCAAGACAGAACUUGAACAGCAUCAUACCAGCUGGACCUAACAGACACAACAGCAGUACACACGUUUUUCUCAAGUGCAAAUGGACCUUUCUCUAGGAUAGACAGUAUGUUAGAUGACUAAACAAGUCAACAAAUUUCAAAAGACUGAGGAAAUAAAAUAUCUUUUCUGGCCACAGUGGGAUGAAACUAGAAAUCAGUAACAGACAAAAAACUGAAAAGUACACAAUUAUGUGAAAAUUAAACAACGCUCUCAACCAGCAGAUUAAUGGGGAACUCACAAGGGAAAUUAGAAAAUAUCUUGUGGUAAAUGAAAAAUGUAAUAUACAAAAAAACAGGUACAGUCAAAGCAGUGGUAGGAGGGAAAUUUGUAACUGUAAAUACACCUAUUAAACAAAUUAAGAUCUCAAGUCAACCCUAAAUUUACAUCUGAAAGAACUAGAAAAAGAAGAGCAAUCAACCCAAAGCCAGCAGAAUGGAGAUGAUUAUAAUAAUAAUAAAGAUUAGAGCAGAGACAAAAUAGAGAACAGAAAAGCAAUAGAGAAAAAUAAAUGAAACCAAGAGUUUGUUGAUAGCUAAGAGUGACUAAGAAAAACAACUAAAAACCAGGAGGAGACAUUACAACUGAUUUUACAGAAAUAAAAAGGAUUAAGAGUACUAUGAGCAAUUACAUAUCAAAGAAUUGGAUAACCUAGAUGAACUGGACAAAUUCUUAGAAACACACAGCCUAUCAAGAUUGAAUCAUGAAGAAAUGGAAAAUCUGAACAGACCUAUGCUAGUCAAGAGCAUGAAGUAGUAAAGAAAAGCCUCCCAAGAAAGAAAAGCCCAGGGUCAUAUGGGAAUUCUGGCAAACAUCUGAAGAAUUAAAUCAAUUCUCCUCAAACUCUUCCAAAAAACUGAAGAGGAAAGGACACUUCCAAAUGCAUUCUAUGAGGCCAUCAUUAUUCUGAUACCAAAACCAGACAAAGACACUAUAAGAAAAAAACACCACACAUCAGUAUUCCUGAUCAAGAUUUUUUUAAAUCAAUAUUCAACAAAAUACUGGCCAACAGGAUUCAGUGGGACAUUGAAAGGAUUACACAUCAUGGCCAAGUAAGAUUUACAGCUGGUAUGCAAAGAUGUUUCAACAUGCUCAAGUCAAUAAAUGUAAUGUCUAUUACAUUAAUAGAAUGAAGGAAAAAAAUGUGAUCUCCAUUGAUGGAGAAAAAGCAUUUGAGACAAUGUCAUGCCCUUUCAUGAUAAAAACUCAACAAUUGGGAAUAGAAGGAAACAACCUAAAAUAGAGGCCAUAUGAACAUCCCACUGUAAACAUCAUAUUCAAUAAGACUGAAAGGACUUUAAGAUCAAGAACAACACAGAAAUACCCUGUCUCACCACUUCUGUUUAACACAGUACUGGAGUCUUAGAGCAGUUAGGCAAGAAAAAGAAAUAAAAGGCAUCCAGACUGGAAAGGAAGAAGCAAAAUUAUCUGUUUGCAGAUGACAUGAUCUUAUAUGUAGAAAAUCCUAGUGUCCAUACAUAUACAAAAAAAAAUUUCAGUAACACUGCAGUUUACAAAAUCAACACAACAAAUCCAUGAUAUUUCUAUACAAUAACAAGCAAUCUCAAAAGGAAAUUUAAGAAAAUUCCAUUAUAAUAGUAACAAAAAAACUGAAAUAUUUAGGAAUAAACUUAAGGAAGCAAAAGACUUGUACUUGAAAACCAUAAAACACUGCUUAAAGAAAGUAAGGUCAACACAAAUAAAUAGAAAGCAAUCCCGUGUUUAUGGAUUGGAUACCUUAAGAUGUCCAUAGUCCAAAGCAAUCUAUAGAUUUCAUGCAAUCUCUAUCAGAAUAUCCCAGUGGCUUUUUUUUUUCCAUCCUGAAACUCAUAUGGAAUCUCAAGAGACCUCACACAGCCAAAAUCAUCUUGAAAGGGAACCAAGUAGGAGGUCUCUCACUUCCUUAUUUCAUAACUUACGACAAAGCUACAAUAAUCAAAAUGGUGUUGUAUUGAAACAAAGACAGUCAUGUAGACCAAUGGAACAGAAUAGCAAAUCCCCAAAUAAACCCUUGCACAUAUGGGUCAAAUGAUUUUUGAUGGUGCCAAGACCAUUCAAGGGAGAAAGGACAGUCUUUUCAACAAAUGGUGCUAGACAAGUGGACAUCCACAUGAAGCUAGAUCUACCUCACACCAUAUAUAAAAAUUAAAAUAGAUCAAAGGCCUAAACUAAGAGCUAAAACUAAAACAUUUAGGAGAAACAUAAGGGAAACUUUUAACAACAUUGGAUUUGGCAGUGAUUUCUUAGAUAUGACACCAGAGGCACACACAGGUAACUAAAAGAAAGAAACAACUUCUGUACAUCAAAGAACAAAACAGAGUGAAAGGCAAUCCACGGAAUGGGACAAAGUAUUUUAAAAUGAUAUAUCUGAAAAGGGUGAGGCAGUGAUUUCUUAGAUAUGACACCAGAGGCACACACAGGUAACUAAAAGAAAGAAACAACUUCUGUACAUCAAAGAACAAAACAGAGUGAAAGGCAAUCCACGGAAUGGGACAAAGUAUUUUAAAAUGAUAUAUCUGAAAAGGGUGAAUACCCAGAACAUAUAAAAACACACACCUGAUUGAAAAAUGGACAAAGAGCCCAAAUAGACAUUUCUCCAAAGACGACAUAUAAACGGCCAACAAACAGAUACUCAGCAUCACCAGUCAUUACGGAAAUGCAAAUCAAAAUCUCAGCAGGAUACCACUUCACACUCAUUAGGAUGGCAAUUAUUAAAAACAGGUGUUGGCAAGGAUGUGGCAAAACUGGAACCUUCAGUGGGAAUGUAAAAUGGUGCAGCCACCGUGUAAAACACUUAUGGCAGUGCCCUAAGAAAUUAAACAUAGGAUUGCCAUAUGAUUGAAAGCAGAGACUCAGAUAUUUGCACACCCAUGUUUACGGCAGCAAUAUUCACAAUAGCUAAAAGGUGGAAGCAACUCAAGUGUCCUCAACAGAUGAGUACACAAACAAAAUGUGGUCCAUCCAUAGAAUCAGCCUUAAAAAGAAAUCUUGACAUAUCCUACAACUUGAAUAAACCUUGAGGACAUUACGCUAAGUGAAAUAAGCCAGUCACAAAAGGACAAAUCCCUUCUGGUUCCACUCAUACGAGGUCCCUACAGAAGUCAAAUUAAAAGAGACAAAGGAGAACAGAGGCUGCCAGGGGCUGGUGGAUGGGGAAUAGGGAGUUGGUGCUUAAUGGGUACAGAGCUUCAGUUUUACAAGAUGACAAAAGUUCAUCUUGUAAAGUUGAACUUGUGGAUACGUGGUAGAGAAGGUUGCACAGUAUGAAUGUAUUUAAUGCCACUAAAUUGCACACUUAAAAUAGGUAAGAUGGUAAAUUUCACGUGUAUUUUAACAUGUCAAAUUCUUUUAAAUGACAUUAGAAUUGACUACAUAGGUUAGAUAAUAAAAACCAACUUGCCUUCAUCUGUGCAAGUUUCUCAAAUGAUUAUCAAAUAAAAAUGAAAUUUCCAUGCAAAAACGAGACAGUUGAGGUGUCUCUUCUAUUUGACACAGAUGUCCUCAUUUUUUUUGCUCUCCCUUACUUAG